GAUGAACGCUGGCGGCGUGCCUAAUACAUGCAAGUCGAGCGAACGGACGAGAAGCUUGCUUCUCUGAUGUUAGCGGCGGACGGGUGAGUAACACGUGGAUAACCUACCUAUAAGACUGGGAUAACUUCGGGGAACCGGAGCUAAUACCGGAUAAUAUUUUGAACCGCAUGGUUCAAAAGUGAAAGACGGUCUUGCUGUCACUUAUAGAUGGAUCCGCGCUGCAUUAGCUAGUUGGUAAGGUAACGGCUUACCAAGGCAACGAUGCAUAGCCGACCUGAGAGGGUGAUCGGCCACACUGGAACUGAGACACGGUCCAGACUCCUACGGGAGGCAGCAGUAGGGAAUCUUCCGCAAUGGGCGAAAGCCUGACGGAGCAACGCCGAGUGAGUGAUGAAGGUCUUCGGAUCGUAAAACUCUGUUAUUAGGGAAGAACAUAUGUGUAAGUAACUGUGCACAUCUUGACGGUACCUAAUCAGAAAGCCACGGCUAACUACGUG
This 497-nucleotide ribosomal RNA is filed under the name uncultured bacterium. RNAcentral describes it as "partial 16S ribosomal RNA". It matches the Rfam family "Bacterial small subunit ribosomal RNA", at positions 28 to 507 of the family's 1533-position model. The record is from RNAcentral.